Molecule: ribosomal RNA, 486 nt
Filed under: uncultured bacterium
Lineage: Bacteria
Description: bacterial SSU rRNA
Rfam family: Bacterial small subunit ribosomal RNA
Source: RNAcentral
AACGAACGCUGGCGGCAUGCCUAACACAUGCAAGUCGAACGAGACCUUCGGGUCUAGUGGCGCACGGGUGCGUAACACGUGGGAAUUUGCCUCGGGGUAUGGAAUAACUCAGGGAAACUUGAGCUAAUACCAUAUAAUGUCUUCGGACCAAAGAUUUAUCGCCCUGAGAUAAGCCCGCGUAGGAUUAGCUAGUUGGUGGGUAAAGGCUCACCAAGGCGACGAUCCUUAGCUGGUCUGAGAGGAUGAUCAGCCACACUGGGACUGAGACACGGCCCAGACUCCUACGGGAGGCAGCAGUGGGGAAUAUUGGACAAUGGGCGAAAGCCUGAUCCAGCAAUGCCGCGUGAGUGAUGAAGGCCUUCGGUUGGUUAAACUGCUUUUGUACGGAACGAAACGGUGAGCUCUAAUACAGUUUGCUAAUGACGGUACCGUAAGAAUAAGCACCGGCUAACUCCGUGCCAGCAGCCGCGGUAAUAGUGACUACUG